AGUUGGUGGAGUGAUUUGUCUGGUUAAUUCCGUUAACGAACGAGACCUUAACCUGCUAAAUAGUUGCGCGAGCCUUCCAUACCGCCAGGAGGUGGGGUUCGCUUCACCUGCUGGUGGGAUGGCUCAGCGUGUAACUUCUUAGAGGGACUAUUCGUAUCUAGCGAAUGGAAGUUUGAGGCAAUAACAGG
This 188-nucleotide ribosomal RNA is filed under the name uncultured eukaryote. RNAcentral describes it as "partial small subunit ribosomal RNA". It matches the Rfam family "Eukaryotic small subunit ribosomal RNA", at positions 1296 to 1460 of the family's 1831-position model. The record is from RNAcentral.